GGCGUGCCCGAAUGACCGCAAGGCGCGUAACCGAAAGUAAAACAAAGGCUGGCGCGCAGGGAGAGCGAAGUCUGUGAGAAAGCGAUUGGAGGGAGAGAAACCUUAGAGAGAGGAUUUUAGAGAGAGAGAGAGAGAGAGAGCGAGAGGAGCCCUAGCCCUAGAGAGAGAGAGGAACCCUAGCCCUAGAUUUCCUAUUUCGAAUCUGUAAAUAUGGGAGAAGCUGAUAUCCACGAUGGCGCAACUAAUACCAUAGAGACCACUCUGCAAUUUGAUCCAACUCAAAUGAUUGGAAUUAUAAGGAGGAAGGCUUUAAUUAAAGAGCUUGCUGAUGCAUACCAUGCCGAAUGCCUUACUUAUUGCCAAGAGCUUCUAGAGCUUCAAAAGAAGCGUGAUGAGCCAAGAGCUGAAAGCAAAACUCAUGAAGAAACCAGGAUUAAGGACACAGGAAGGCCCCCCAAACGCGUAAAGAAGACCCGUUAGUUAGGAACGGGCUGGGUCAUGGUGGUAGCACCUCCCUACCUAGUUACCAUGUUGUGGUUUCCAAUCCUGUUGACACUACCCUCUAGCACCUUCAAAAAAAUCUAACUGGCUAAUGUAUAUGAAAAAACAGAGUGGAGUUGUGAGGAUAGUAUGAGCGAGUUGGGGAUUCUGGCCACUUGGUAGUGAGUGGAGUUGUGAGGCACUGGUCCGGAAUGGCAUGAGCGACACGACCAGAUUCUGGCCACUUGGUACUGGAGGGCCAUAACCAUGUUUGGCGCCCAAGGAGAUGGGGCCAUGGAGGGCGCAGAACAUGCCAUAAUAUGCAUGUUCGGGUUGAAAGAUGCGAGAGUGUCUGCUAACAUGAUGGGGUUAGUAUUUUCUGAUAAUUUUGGCUGAGGAGGUUGAUUUGUUGGGAGUGAGUUUUCGAAUACAUGCUGCAGAACUCUGAAUAUCUCUUCGAGUCCUUUCAACGAAGGCAAUGCAGGUCACGCAUGCUCACAAUGUGGCGUGGUGGUACGCAUUUGGUCUGAUAGAAUGGAUGGGACUGAGGGGGUUGAGCACUGCUAUACUUCUUUCUUCAAGGCCGUCGAAGCUUCCGUGGGACUUGACUUUGUUGCUUCGUCCUCGACCGGGUUGAUUCCGAUAACUCCUCUUCCUUGAAUAACUGUGGUUGCUCAAAGGUUGGGGUUCUCAUUCUCCACCUACUCAGUCUCAUCUUGAGGUUCCUUUCCUUUGGUGGCUUCUCUUUCUUCUAAAAAAUACAAUACGGCAUAAAAUGUACUUAUCCUUCUUCAUCUACAAAAAAAACCUUCUUCAUGUA
Molecule: non-coding RNA, 1300 nt
Organism: Amborella trichopoda
Lineage: Eukaryota; Viridiplantae; Streptophyta; Magnoliopsida; Amborellales; Amborellaceae
Source: RefSeq, a predicted model, not a curated record